UGCUGGGUAGCUCAUUUGGUAGAGCAGGAGUCUCUUAAUCUCAUGGUUGUGAGUUUGAGCCGCACGUUCGGCAA
This is a non-coding RNA of Podarcis lilfordi (Lilford's wall lizard), 74 nucleotides long. The record is from the annotation of a GenBank genome assembly. NCBI's taxonomy places the organism in Eukaryota, Metazoa, Chordata, Lepidosauria, Squamata, Lacertidae.